Molecule: long non-coding RNA, 656 nt
Organism: Eurytemora carolleeae
Lineage: Eukaryota; Metazoa; Arthropoda; Copepoda; Calanoida; Temoridae
Exons: 3
Source: RefSeq, a predicted model, not a curated record
AUCCUUCUCAUUCUUCUCAUCCUUCUCAUCUUUGUCUCAGGUUAAGUACCGAGUGUUCUUAGUUGUAAUUUGUAUCUGAGAGUAUCCAUCGGAAAUCCCGUUUUCGCAGGAAAUUUGUUAUUUUCAAGUUUUCAGAGGUUUUUCGUUCACAAUAACCCUAUGACAGAAGUCUAAAAGAGUUAAAGCAGGCUCGCUCUCUCUCUUGUAAUUCAACCCGGCAUGCGCGUGACUCCUUUUGGCUUCUCCUUCACCAGGUUAUUUAGAACGAAAAACCUCUUGAAAAUAUCUGUAUUGUUAUUAAUCUAUGGCUCUCACUAACUUCUUAUUCAGGGACCUGUUCCCAGAUCCUGACGGAUCUUAUAGGGGUUACCAGAAGAAGAAAUGGAGAAAGUAGAUAUCUGCUUAAGUGAUUAAUCUGUGUACCUCUACAGCAGCCUCUGCACUGUCCUCUAAAAGAGUUGCACUAAGUUCUAUAAUUACCAUGUAUAUAAUUUGUUUAUAAAUAAAAAAUGUCUUCUUUAUAGUGUAUUGUACUAUUAGUUUAUGGGCUAAUAACGUUUACCAACUUAGUAACAUGUUUUUAUGAUGCUUUUGCUGUAGAAAUUGCUCAUUCCCCGAUCUGAGGAGGGAGCGGGAGCCAUGCGACCAUGAGCACA